CCUUGAUCGUACUGCAAACCGACUCAGGUGGACGGGGUGAAUAUCCCAAGGCGCGUGAGAGAACCCUGGUUAAGGAACUCUGCAAAUUGACACCGUAACUUCGGGAGAAGGUGUGCCGCUGGCGGUUAGUGACUUCGCGUCACGAAGCUGUCGGUGGUCGCAGUGAAAUGGCGGUUGUGACUGUUUACUAAAAACACAGGACUCUGCGAAGUCGUAAGACGACGUAUAGGGUCUGAUGCCUGCCCGGUGCUGGAAGGUUAAGGGGAUAUGUCAGCGCAAGCGAAGCAUUGAACCGAAGCCCCAGUAAACGGCGGCCGUAACUAUAACGGUCCUAAGGUAGCGAAAUUCCUUGUCGGGUAAGUUCCGACCUGCACGAGGGCAUAACAACAUCCGCACUGUCUCGACCAGGGACUCAGCGAAAUUACAUUGGGGGUGAAGAUGCCCUCUACCCGCGGAAAGACGGAAAGACCCCAUGAACCUUUACUGCAACUUGGCAGUGAUUUUCGGGUUGUUCUGCGUAGGAUAGGUGGGAGGCUUUGAAGCCGGGCUUCCGGGUUCGGCAGAGCCAACGUUGAAAUACCACCCUGAAUAAUCUGGAAAUCUAACCUGCGCCCAUGAUCUGGGCGAGGGACACUGCCUGGUGCAGUUUGACUGGGGCGGUCGCCUCCUAAAUUGUAACGGAGGCGUGCGACGGUUCCCUCAGGCUGAUUGGAAACCAGCCGUAGAGUGCAAACGCAUAAGGGAGCUUUACUGCGAGACUGACAAGUCGAACAGUUGCGAAAGCAGGUGUUAGUGAUCCGGUGGUACCACAUGGAAGGGCCAUCGCUCAUCGGAUAAAAGGUACUCUGGGGAUAACAGGCUGAUCGCGCCUGAGAGUUCACAUCGGCGGCGCGGUUUGGCACCUCGAUGUCGGCUCAUCGCAUCCUGGGGCUGGAGCAGGUCCCAAGGGUUUGGCUGUUCGCCAAUUAAAGCGGUACGCGAGCUGGGUUUAAAACGUCGUGAGACAGUUUGGUCCCUAUCUUCCGUGGGCGCAGGACACUUGAGAGGAGCUAUCCAUAGUACGAGAGGACCUGGAUGGACGAACCUCUGGUGCUCCGGUUGUCACGCCAGUGGCAUAGCCGGGUAGCCAUGUUCGGAACAGAUAACCGCUGAAGGCAUAUAAGCGGGAAGCUGGCCUCAAGACUAGGUGUCCCUGACGCAAGUCACUAAAGGCCCCUCGAAGACUACGAGGUUGAUAGGCUCGGUGUGGAAGCGCUGCGAGGCGUGGAGCUAACGAGUACUAAUAGGCCGUGCGACUUGACCCC
This 1304-nucleotide ribosomal RNA is filed under the name metagenome. Its description in RNAcentral is "bacterial LSU rRNA". It matches the Rfam family "Bacterial large subunit ribosomal RNA", at positions 1636 to 2925 of the family's 2925-position model. The record is from RNAcentral.